Molecule: long non-coding RNA, 372 nt
Organism: Chroicocephalus ridibundus (black-headed gull)
Lineage: Eukaryota; Metazoa; Chordata; Aves; Charadriiformes; Laridae
Exons: 3
Source: RefSeq, a predicted model, not a curated record
CUACCUUGACCGACCCCUUCAGCCUGAAGCACCCCCCUCCACGUGAACACCCUAGCACACUGCGGGCCCAGAGGGGCCGGUCCUCUGCUCUUGGUAGGCUCUGCAACACAGCUACCACCUCAACUCAGCUGGGACGUCAGAUAUUGAUCAUCUAUGAAUGCAGGGAACCCCAGAGAAGACAACACCAGUGUUCAGAUGACAUUCAGCAAGUCCAAUGGCCCAAAAUGUCAGCUCUGCUAUUCUUGCUCUUAUGCUGUCCUGGAGGGAAUCUGAGUCAGAUAGACAUGAGAACAGAAGCACACCACUGACGCAUAAAGUUAAUUUUAUUUAGUACGCUCUAGAAGUGUAUGCUGGAUUGAUAGUCAGUCAGAG